UUGUGAAAACGGAUAGUCGCCGCUAUUCUUAGCGGAGGAAAGUCCGGACUCCGGGAGGGAAAAGUGCCAGAUAACGUCUGGCGGCGCGGCAAGUUCGCGCUAGGGAAAGUGCAACAGAAAAUAUACCGCCCUUCGGGGUAAGGUUGAAAUGGCGAGGUAAGAGCUCCCCGCGCAGCCGGCGACGGUUGCGGCAGUGCAAACCCCACUUGGAGCAAGAUCAAAUAGGAAUAAUAACGCCGUCCCUCCGGCAUGUUAUUCGGGUAGAUCGCUUGACGUUUGCGGCGACGCAAAUGCUAGAUGAAUGACUAUCGGGAUGAAUAUCUCACAGAAUCCGGCUUAUAGUUUUCACAGAAAC
This 355-nucleotide RNase P RNA is filed under the name Holosporaceae bacterium. RNAcentral's name for it is "RNase P RNA component class A". It matches the Rfam family "Bacterial RNase P class A". From Rfam's summary of the family: Ribonuclease P (RNase P) is a ubiquitous endoribonuclease, found in archaea, bacteria and eukarya as well as chloroplasts and mitochondria. The record is from RNAcentral. Lineage: Bacteria; Pseudomonadati; Pseudomonadota; Alphaproteobacteria; Holosporales; Holosporaceae.